RNAcentral lists this transfer RNA (66 nucleotides) under Coccocrater sp. MNHN-IM-2013-41044. RNAcentral describes it as "tRNA-Asp". The record is from RNAcentral. Lineage: Eukaryota; Metazoa; Mollusca; Gastropoda; Cocculinidae.
GGGAGAUUAGUUAAAAAAUAUAAUAUUAGCUUGUCAUGCUAAAGUUGCUGUUUUCAGUGUGUCCUU